Long non-coding RNA from Lemur catta (Ring-tailed lemur), 490 nucleotides. RefSeq lists it as uncharacterized. NCBI's taxonomy places the organism in Eukaryota, Metazoa, Chordata, Mammalia, Primates, Lemuridae. The record is from RefSeq and is a predicted model, not a curated record. The transcript has 3 exons.
AAGUCCUGGAAACAAGUUAUAGAACCCUCACUUUUACCUGGGACAUUGCCGCUUAGCUAAGAAAGACUACAUCUCCCAGCCUCCUUUGCAGUGGGUGUGGGCAUGUGACUAGGCUCUGGCCAAUAAGAGGUUGAGCUCCUCUAACAUACGGACCACCCAUACUGAAAUCACAUCCACUCCAGCACUUUGCACGAUGCAGAAAACAAUACUAAUGUAUCCAAUUUAUGGAUGAGACUGUUGAAGCUCUGGAAGGUUGAAUGAGUCGCCGAAGAUCCCAAGGCUGGCAGUGGCAUAGCAACUAGAAUAUAUCCCUACCAUUCCUCAACUACAUCUCUUUCCUUGAACUGCCACAAGGCAAACCACUACCCGCCCCCCCCCGCCUUUUUUUCAGGAAACCCAAGUUUUUCUAUGAGCUCUUUUUUCCAAAGGGCUAUUUUCCAAAGCAAAAAAACAAAGCAAAAAGCCAGUUAUUACUGUGUGUGUGUGUCCG